Molecule: ribosomal RNA, 253 nt
Filed under: uncultured bacterium
Lineage: Bacteria
Description: partial 16S ribosomal RNA
Rfam family: Bacterial small subunit ribosomal RNA
Source: RNAcentral
UACGGAGGAUGCAAGCGUUAUCCGGAAUGAUUGGGCGUAAAGCGUCCGCAGGUGGCUAUGUAAGUCUGCUGUUAAAGAGUGAGGCUCAACCUCAUAAGAGCAGUGGAAACUACACGGCUAGAGUGCGUUCGGGGCAGAGGGAAUUCCUGGUGUAGCGGUGAAAUGCGUAGAUAUCAGGAAGAACACCGGUGGCGAAAGCGCUCUGCUAGGCCGCAACUGACACUGAGGGACGAAAGCUAGGGGAGCGAAUGGG